RNAcentral lists this ribosomal RNA (921 nucleotides) under Bacillus stratosphericus. RNAcentral's name for it is "bacterial SSU rRNA". It matches the Rfam family "Bacterial small subunit ribosomal RNA", at positions 1 to 888 of the family's 1533-position model. Lineage: Bacteria; Bacillati; Bacillota; Bacilli; Caryophanales; Bacillaceae. The record is from RNAcentral.
CCACAAGCCCCGGGGGCCUUUUUUAGAUUUUUUGACUCGCUCAGGACGAACGCUGGCGGCGUGCCUAAUACAUGCAAGUCGAGCGGACAGAAGGGAGCUUGCUCCCGGAUGUUAGCGGCGGACGGGUGAGUAACACGUGGGUAACCUGCCUGUAAGACUGGGAUAACUCCGGGAAACCGGAGCUAAUACCGGAUAGUUCCUUGAACCGCAUGGUUCAAGGAUGAAAGACGGUUUCGGCUGUCACUUACAGAUGGACCCGCGGCGCAUUAGCUAGUUGGUGAGGUAACGGCUCACCAAGGCGACGAUGCGUAGCCGACCUGAGAGGGUGAUCGGCCACACUGGGACUGAGACACGGCCCAGACUCCUACGGGAGGCAGCAGUAGGGAAUCUUCCGCAAUGGACGAAAGUCUGACGGAGCAACGCCGCGUGAGUGAUGAAGGUUUUCGGAUCGUAAAGCUCUGUUGUUAGGGAAGAACAAGUGCAAGAGUAACUGCUUGCACCUUGACGGUACCUAACCAGAAAGCCACGGCUAACUACGUGCCAGCAGCCGCGGUAAUACGUAGGUGGCAAGCGUUGUCCGGAAUUAUUGGGCGUAAAGGGCUCGCAGGCGGUUUCUUAAGUCUGAUGUGAAAGCCCCCGGCUCAACCGGGGAGGGUCAUUGGAAACUGGGAAACUUGAGUGCAGAAGAGGAGAGUGGAAUUCCACGUGUAGCGGUGAAAUGCGUAGAGAUGUGGAGGAACACCAGUGGCGAAGGCGACUCUCUGGUCUGUAACUGACGCUGAGGAGCGAAAGCGUGGGGAGCGAACAGGAUUAGAUACCCUGGUAGUCCACGCCGUAAACGAUGAGUGCUAAGUGUUAGGGGGUUUCCGCCCCUUAGUGCUGCAGCUAACGCAUAAGCACUCCGCCUGGAGACUAAGCUUU